UUCUGGGGUGACAAGAGAGGAUAGAUCCGAAAUGACUACAUAAGGGGGUCGACUAAGGUGGUGGAAGUAUCAAAUAAAGUGCAGGAGGAGAGGGUGAGAUGGUAUGGACACCUGCUGAGGAGAGAUGAAGAUCACGCUGGGAGACAUACUAUGGGGAUGGAAGGUCAAGGAAGAAGAAGAGGGAGACCAAGAAAGAGAUGGAAGGACUGUGUGAGAGGAGACUUACAUGAGAAGGGAAUUGAUGAGGCAGAAGCACAGGAUAGAAAUAGAUGGAAACGGCUCAUCCUCAACGGCGACCCCAUAUAAAAAUGGGAAUCUAGCUGGGAAGGAAGGGUCAUAAUAACUAACUCUCGGCUGUCUGUGUGGAAAUAGCAGUAGUUCUGUCAACAAGAUCUAAUUAAGGAGUGGUAAACAAUAAGCAUUGCGCGAGUCGACUAUCUGCAUGUAGCCACAAGCUGGUGACGAAGAUGGAUCAACAAUCCCAAAUAUCCACAAAGGAUUCUGAGGAGCACGUCCCCUGUGGUGCUUUGGUGUAUGGCUAAAACAAGAUUCAUUGAUUUGCACUGUUAUCCCUGGCUAUUGACAUAUCUCAAAAACCUUUCGAAAGGUUUUUGAGAUAUGUCAAUAGCAAAUUACCUUCCAUUCAAUUUACAGUGGAAUAUGAAGUGGAAAAUAAGCUUCCCUUUCUGGAUGUUUUGGUAUGCCAUGACCCUAUUACAUUUAGUUUUAAAUUUAGUGUUUACAGAAAAGUGACUAAUGCUGAAGCUUAUGUCCACUUCUAUUCUUUUCAUAAUAAUGAAGUAAAGCAAAAUAUAAUGAUAAAUUUCAUUCUAAGAGCCUUGAAAAUGUGUGAUCCUGAAUUUCAUCAUAUAAAAGAAGUUUUUAGAAAAUUAUGCUAUCCAGAAAAUUUCAUAAAUAAUGCCUUCACAAAAGCCAGAAGGAUUUUCUACAUAAAAAGUCAAUAUGAAUACAAAAAAGAAUAAAAAAAGUAUCUAACCUUACCAUUUAAUCCUAACUUACGAAAUAUUAGGAAAACAGUGAAUGAAAAAGGCGGAAAAAAGGUCAACCUGUUCUCCAACUAUAAGAAUACCCUCAAAGGCUGUCUCAUGCAAAAUAAUCACUCCAACCAAAGCUUUAACAAAGAAAUUGGUGUUUAUGAAAUACCUUGUCUGGAUUGCGAUAAGAAAUAUUACACAAAAGAGCCUGUAAUUUGCAUGCUGAGAAUAAUGCAUUAGUCUCACAUAGUUUAAAUGACGAUCACCGCAUAAAUUGGAGCGAGUCAAAAGUAAUUUUCAAUAGUAAAGAUACAGGCAUUAGAAGGUAAUAAAGCCUUUACGCAGGAAGAUUUUAUCUUAAAUGAAAUGAUUUGCUUUCAUUUUAUAAGAGAUUAUAACAAAGAAAGCUUGCAGAGUAAUAACACCAAUAAUCUCUGAUACUGCCGCUGCCUCAUCUUCUUUCGUUCAGGUAACAGGGACACACCCAGUGCCCCUUGUUGCAGACGCCCAAGCUGCUAUGAAAACAGACCAAAUGAUUCAAGAGACAAACCGCCACUUCGAAGAUCUAGGCGAUUAGCUGGUUUGCCGUUGGAGAAUGAGGGGAUAACAUGUAGAGCCAACCACCCAUCUUCAAACAAGCUACCUGUAAACUAGUCAAAAAAACAAAGUUUUUGUAUGGUCACUGCAUGUAAUUAUAGUCAGAUUGCAGGUCAUCGAAAGCUUUCUGCUUUGUAUUUUAAAUAACAAGAUCAAACAGACAUAUUAUUGUGGAUUUACUUCUCCAUUUUAUUUUGUUGUUUCAUGUGAUUAUGAGUUUUCUUUGGAUUAUAAUUAUAAGUAUAUAUAUCUAAAACAAAUUUCACGAAAGAAACUGAACAAAUCAAUAACUGGCACUUUUGAAACACUCAAUAAUUGAGUGGUUUGCAAUUUAUUCCAUUCCUGACACCAUUUAAAAAAAUGCCUGCUAUCCAAUUUUGCAAGAAAAUUUUUAUGUAAUAAAAAAAACGAAUCUUAACGAAUUGAUUGGUAGUGCUUAUUUUCCUACAUUCUUUAACUUGGCACUUCUAGACGUAUUUAUCUUGAACUGAAGAGCACUUAGUCCUGUUCAUUAAAACUUGACACACACAGCACUUUAGUUCUCUUCUCAGAAGAUGCUGUUGUAUCAUCCAGUUAAUUGCAGGAAGCGGAUCUU
This is a long non-coding RNA of Macrobrachium nipponense, 2187 nucleotides long. RefSeq lists it as uncharacterized. The transcript is spliced from 3 exons. NCBI's taxonomy places the organism in Eukaryota, Metazoa, Arthropoda, Malacostraca, Decapoda, Palaemonidae. The record is from RefSeq and is a predicted model, not a curated record.